Molecule: ribosomal RNA, 704 nt
Filed under: uncultured bacterium
Lineage: Bacteria
Description: bacterial SSU rRNA
Rfam family: Bacterial small subunit ribosomal RNA
Source: RNAcentral
AGAGUUUGAUCAUGGCUCAGAUUGAACGCUGGCGGAAUGCUUUACACAUGCAAGUCGAACGAUGAACCUUAGCUUGCUAAGGGGAUUAGUGGCGAACGGGUGAGUAAUAUAUCGGAACGUGCCUUGUAAUGGGGGAUAACUAGUCGAAAGAUUAGCUAAUACCGCAUACGCCCUGAGGGGGAAAGUAGGGGAUCUUCGGACCUUACGUUAUAAGAGCGGCCGAUAUCUGAUUAGCUAGUUGGUGGGGUAAUGGCCUACCAAGGCUUCGAUCAGUAGCUGGUCUGAGAGGACGACCAGCCACACUGGAACUGAGACACGGUCCAGACUCCUACGGGAGGCAGCAGUGGGGAAUUUUGGACAAUGGGCGCAAGCCUGAUCCAGCCAUUCCGCGUGAGUGAAGAAGGCCUUCGGGUUGUAAAGCUCUUUCGCAAGGGAAGAAAACUUACAUUCUAAUAAAGUGUGAGGCUGACGGUACCUUGAUAAGAAGCACCGGCUAACUACGUGCCAGCAGCCGCGGUAAUACGUAGGGUGCGAGCGUUAAUCGGAAUUACUGGGCGUAAAGCGUGCGCAGGCGGUUUGGCAAGUCAGAUGUGAAAUCCCCGAGCUCAACUUGGGAACUGCGUUUGAAACUGCCAGACUAGAAUAUGUCAGAGGGGGGUAGAAUUCCACGUGUAGCAGUGAAAUGCGUAGAGAUGUGGAGGAAU